RNAcentral lists this ribosomal RNA (594 nucleotides) under uncultured Glomus. Its description in RNAcentral is "SSU rRNA". It matches the Rfam family "Eukaryotic small subunit ribosomal RNA", at positions 624 to 1213 of the family's 1831-position model. The record is from RNAcentral. Lineage: Eukaryota; Fungi; Glomeromycota; Glomeromycetes; Glomerales; Glomeraceae.
AAGCUCGUAGUUGAAUUUCGCGAUUGACACGUCGGUCGUGCCUUAAGGGGUAUGAACUGGUGUAGUCAAUUUCUCACCUUCUGGAGAACCGCGAUGCCCUUAAUUGGGUGUCACGGGGAACCAGGACCUUUACUUUGAAAAAAUUAGAGUGUUUAAAGCAGGCAUUUUGCUUGAAUACAUUAGCAUGGAAUAAUAAAAUAGGACGGCAUGAUUCUAUUUUGUUGGUUUCUAGGAUCACCGUAAUGAUUAAUAGGGAUAGUUGGGGGCAUUAGUAUUCAAUUGUCAGAGGUGAAAUUCUUGGAUUUAUUGAAGACUAACUACUGCGAAAGCAUUUGCCAAGGAUGUUUUCAUUAAUCAAGAACGAAAGUUAGGGGAUCGAAGACGAUCAGAUACCGUCGUAGUCUUAACCAUAAACUAUGCCGACUAGGAAUCAGACGAUGUUAAUUUUUUAAUGACUCGUUUGGCACCUUACGGGAAACCAAAGUGUUUGGGUUCCGGGGGGAGUAUGGUCGCAAGGCUGAAACUUAAAGGAAUUGACGGAAGGGCACCACCAGGGGUGGAGCCUGCGGCUUAAUUUGACUCAACACGGGAAAA